UACGGAGGGUGCGAGCGUUGUUCGGAAUCACUGGGCGUAAAGGGCGUGUAGGCGGUCCGCUAAGUCUGAUGUGAAAGCCCGGGGCUCACCCCCGGAAGGGCAUUGGAAACUGACGGACUCGAGUCCCGAAGAGGAGGGUGGAAUUCCUGGUGUAGCGGUGAAAUGCGCAGAUAUCAGGAGGAACACCGGUGGCGAAGGCGGAUCUCUGGGCCGAUACUGACGCUGAGGCGCGAAAGCCAGGGGAGCGAACGGG
RNAcentral lists this ribosomal RNA (253 nucleotides) under uncultured bacterium. RNAcentral describes it as "partial 16S ribosomal RNA". It matches the Rfam family "Bacterial small subunit ribosomal RNA", at positions 524 to 776 of the family's 1533-position model. The record is from RNAcentral.